UUAGACGCUAGCGGGUAGCCUUACACAUGCAAGUCGAACGGCAGCACGGACUUCGGUCUGGUGGCGAGUGGCGAACGGGUGAGUAAUGUAUCGGAACGUGCCUAGUAGCGGGGGAUAACUACGCGAAAGCGUAGCUAAUACCGCAUACGCCCUACGGGGGAAAGCAGGGGAUCGCAAGACCUUGCACUAUUAGAGCGGCCGAUAUCGGAUUAGCUAGUUGGUGGGGUAACGGCUCACCAAGGCGACGAUCCGUAGCUGGUUUGAGAGGACGACCAGCCACACUGGGACUGAGACACGGCCCAGACUCCUACGGGAGGCAGCAGUGGGGAAUUUUGGACAAUGGGGGAAACCCUGAUCCAGCCAUCCCGCGUGUGCGAUGAAGGCCUUCGGGUUGUAAAGCACUUUUGGCAGGAAAGAAACGUUCCGGGUUAAUACCCCGGGAAACUGACGGUACCUGCAGAAUAAGCACCGGCUAACUACGUGCCAGCCGCC
Molecule: ribosomal RNA, 492 nt
Filed under: Achromobacter xylosoxidans
Lineage: Bacteria; Pseudomonadati; Pseudomonadota; Betaproteobacteria; Burkholderiales; Alcaligenaceae
Description: bacterial SSU rRNA
Rfam family: Bacterial small subunit ribosomal RNA
Source: RNAcentral